UGGGGAAUAUUGCGCAAUGGGCGAAAGCCUGACGCAGCGACGCCGCGUGAGGGAUGAAGGUUUUCGGAUCGUAAACCUCUGUCAGAAGGGAAAAAACCGCACUGUGCUAAUCAGCAGUGCCUUGACGGUACCUUCAAAGGAAGCACCGGCUAACUCCGUGCCAGCAGCCGCGGUAAUACGGAGGGUGCAAGCGUUAAUCGGAAUUACUGGGCGUAAAGCGCACGUAGGCUGCUUUGUAAGUCAGGGGUGAAAUCCCACGGCUCAACCGUGGAACUGCCUUUGAUACUGCUUAGCUUGAAUCCGGGAGAGGGUGGCGGAAUUCCAGGUGUAGGAGUGAAAUCCGUAGAUAUCUGGAGGAACAUCAGUGGCGAAGGCGGCCACCUGGACCGGUAUUGACGCUGAGGUGCGAAAGCGUGGGGAGCAAACAGG
Molecule: ribosomal RNA, 429 nt
Filed under: Fusobacteriota bacterium
Lineage: Bacteria; Fusobacteriati; Fusobacteriota
Description: Fusobacteria bacterium partial 16S ribosomal RNA
Rfam family: Bacterial small subunit ribosomal RNA
Source: RNAcentral